Molecule: long non-coding RNA, 596 nt
Filed under: Cavia porcellus (domestic guinea pig)
Lineage: Eukaryota; Metazoa; Chordata; Mammalia; Rodentia; Caviidae
Description: lncRNA (ENSCPOG00000037740.1)
Source: RNAcentral
CAGCCCCGUGCAUCCGCAGUGCGCGCGUGGGCACGGGGCUCCCUUUCCCGCAGGAACGGGCGCUAGCCCGCCUUCUGGGCGUGGCACCGGCCAGCCCUUUCAUUGGAGGGCCGCAGCAGCCCUCUCCCUGCGCUAGGAUCGCUACCUCCCUCUGCACAGGAGGAGACGGAGGGUCCGAGAGGUGAGGGGCCGGCUCCGAGGCGAGGCACACUCUGAGAGCCAGAGGGCAGCCCUGGCAAGGAGCAGACGAGCCCAAGAGAGGGAAGGAGCUGCAGUCUCCAGUGGAGUGGAAUGCGACUCUUGUGCAGCAGACUCCCAAGCCUCCCACAUUCCUGUGUGCUCUGUGCCCCCUCUGUCUCCAUCUCUCUUGUUUCUUUUAGGGGACACAUGGUCUUGCUUUGUUUUUUGGUUUUGUUUUGUUAUUUGGUAUCUGGGGAUUAAAACCAGGGCCUUCAUAUUGAGAAAAUCUUCAGCCCUUUAAUUUUUUUUUUUUUUAAAUUUUGACCCAAGGAUUCAGUAAAUCACUGAGUUGCCAAGGCUGGCGGCGGGGGGGGGGGGGGCUUGCAAUCUGCCUGCCUCAGUCUCCCAGAAUGCAC